AGAUUCCUACGGGAGGCAGCAGUGGGGAAUAUUGCACAAUGGGCGAAAGCCUGAUGCAGCAACGCCGCGUGAGCGAUGAAGGCCUUCGGGUCGUAAAGCUCUGUCCUCAAGGAAGAUAAUGACGGUACUUGAGGAGGAAGCCCCGGCUAACUACGUGCCAGCAGCCGCGGUAAUACGUAGGGGGCUAGCGUUAUCCGGAAUUACUGGGCGUAAAGGGUGCGUAGGUGGUUUCUUAAGUCAGAGGUGAAAGGCUACGGCUCAACCGUAGUAAGCCUUUGAAACUGGGAAACUUGAGUGCAGGAGAGGAGAGUGGAAUUCCUAGUGUAGCGGUGAAAUGCGUAGAUAUUAGGAGGAACACCAGUUGCGAAGGCGGCUCUCUGGACUGUAGCUGACACUGAGGCACGAAAGCGUGGGGAGCAAACAGGAUUAGAUACCCUGGUAGUCCACGCCGUAAACGAUGAGUACUAGCUGUCGGAGGUUACCCCCUUCGGUGGCGCAGCUAGCGCAUUAAGUACUCCGCCUGGGAAGUACGAAUCACGAAUU
RNAcentral lists this ribosomal RNA (543 nucleotides) under uncultured bacterium. Its description in RNAcentral is "bacterial SSU rRNA". It matches the Rfam family "Bacterial small subunit ribosomal RNA", at positions 333 to 894 of the family's 1533-position model. The record is from RNAcentral.